This 600-nucleotide ribosomal RNA is filed under the name uncultured bacterium. RNAcentral describes it as "bacterial SSU rRNA". It matches the Rfam family "Bacterial small subunit ribosomal RNA", at positions 794 to 1394 of the family's 1533-position model. The record is from RNAcentral.
UCCUAGCUGUAAACGAUGGAUACUAGGUGUGGCUUGUAUCGACCCAAGCCGUGCCGUAGCUAACGCGUUAGGUAUCCCGCCUGGGGAGUACGCGCGCAAGCGUGAAACUCAAAGGAAUUGACGGGGGCCCGCACAAGCGGUGGAGUAUGUGGUUUAAUUCGAUGCAACGCGAAGAACCUUACCAGGGCUUGACAUGUCCGGAGCCACUAGGAAACUAGUGGGUGCCUUCGGGAACCGGAGCACAGGUGGUGCAUGGCUGUCGUCAGCUCGUGUCGUGAGAUGUUGGGUUAAGUCCCGCAACGAGCGCAACCCUCGUUCUUAGUUGCCAUCAUUCAGUUGGGCACUCUAGGGAGACUGCCGGUGACAAACCGGAGGAAGGUGGGGAUGACGUCAAGUCAUCAUGCCCCUUACGUCCUGGGCUACACACGUACUACAAUGGUUGGGACAGAGGGUCGCGAGCCUGCGAAGGCAAGCUAAUCCCAUAAACCCAGCCUCAGUUCAGAUUGCAGGCUGCAACUCGCCUGCAUGAAGGAGGAAUCGCUAGUAAUCGCAGGUCAGCAUACUGCGGUGAAUACGUUCCCGGGCCUUGUACACUCCGCC